AUNGCACAUUAUCUUACAACG
This 21-nucleotide ribosomal RNA is filed under the name Lactarius deliciosus. RNAcentral describes it as "partial 18S ribosomal RNA". Lineage: Eukaryota; Fungi; Basidiomycota; Agaricomycetes; Russulales; Russulaceae. The record is from RNAcentral.